CCACCGCCCACCGACCACCGCCCUCGAGAGGGAAAAGCCUCGGCUCACACAGCCGUCCAGACCCAGUAUUCUACACCAAAAUCCCAGGUAAAUUGGCUUCGUCUCCCCGCUCUGCGGCGAUGGAAGGAGGAGGAGGUGCAGAGCACCGCGAAUUCCAUCGCCACGGCCUCGCGCAGCCGCCUCGCCCUUCUCCGGCAUCUCGCGAUCCAUGGCAGACGUUUGUUGGAACAGACAGAUUAGUCAACAAAGAAAAAUUAAGUGGCGGAGAAUCUUCCUAAAAUGAAAUCAAGACGAUGAGAUAAGCAUGGAGAUUUAAUGUGGUUUGUUGGAGAUGCUUAAGGUAGGAGAUGAAGGACAGUUGGAAGGGGAUAAUGGAGGACAAUUAUAGCUUCACUAGAGCCUGGGGCGGAGAGGUGGGGGCCGUCUCUGCAGGUUCGCAGUGCAGCUGGGCCAAACAUCGCUUACAGUUUAAGCUGUAGCCUGUUAUGAAGUAAAAGCUGCGGAGGUACAGUUUCGGCCACUGUGUGCGGGAAGAUGAGAGGUCAAGCAGUAGCAAUUGGCACAUGUAGGUUCCACGGGGCACUCAGCGAGAUUCAAUCUUAACGUGACAUUUAGGCCGACCUUUUAUUAUGGAUCGCUGGGGGGAAGAAUCGUAAAAGUUUCGGGUGUCAACAAAUUGUGUCGCUGCGGAAAAGAGGGAUCAGACCAAAGCAGUGGCCUUGGUAGGGCAAGGUGUGAUAUUCACAUUGGUAUUAUCCUCGAUGACACAAAGGUUCAUGCCCAAGCACCCAUAUUUUAAUGGUUUAUAGUCGGGAUAUUUUCUUGAGUUGGGAUUUGCAUCUCCCAGAGGGAAGACCAGGGCGUACGCAUGCCACCUUUCGCGGCCGUGGGGGUUGAAAAUGGCUGCUCCUAUUGGAUGAUGGGAAAAGGUACCACAAGAUAACGUCUUGGGGCCUACCGCCGGCGACCACAUCGCAUCGGGGCAUGCCUUCGGUACCACACGCACCGAUGACUGCCAGUAAUCACUAAGCAGUGCAUUAAGGACGGUCGAUGCCGGCAGUUUCUUGUGUGUAAUAUAUAUACAAAACAGGCAGGGGGCAGCAAAAGCCAUAGACAGCGGAGGGACCACCAUGGAUGGUGUUCAUGGAUGCUGGACAGUUGCAGAUAACUCACCUAUCCUUUUAUUCUAUGGUAUACACGAUAGCCAGCUAGGAUAUCAUGAGAUCAAACCAGAUACUCUUGGCUGUGUGAAUUGGCUGGCAGAGAGUAGCUUGAUCUAUCCAGAUUUAAUUCCCAAGAGACAAAAAAAAAGAAACUAUGGUCAUUAAAACUUAAAAUGGACUGAAGACAUAAAAUUAUAAAGCCUCGUUUGAGAUACUAGCUAUAGUUUUGACGUACUAUGAACAGUGCUAGGUUUAAUUCGUUUUAGGUGGGAUAUUUGUACUAUGUACGACUGCCAAAAGAAUAUAAUAUUAUGGACAGUUAAGUAAAGAUGCAUACUGUAGUGUCAACUGUUGCUGAUUGGAACUACUACUCCUUGGCAGCCGCAGCAUGGGUACUACUCCCGGUAGUACUUAAAUCCAUGGGAGGGCUCAGCACUGGAGGUACGACCACCUAUCCCAUCCAUCUCCUCUGCUCCAAAACCAAGCACCAAGAGCCCUUUCUCUCAUCACCUCUCCUUUCAAUUCCAGUACGGCGGCCGCUCACCGGAUCCAAGAAGAAAAAACCUCUCCCAUUUCCUGUUGUGUUCGGAGGUUUUAUUUGGGUUUCCUUUUGGAUUUUUUGGGUUGUUUGAUACUUUUGUGGCGGAAUUUGUUCUUCGGCUGUGCAAUCUGCGAAGUAAUGUUAGCUCCUGGUGUGGGGAGGCCCUCGAGAGAUUGACAGAAGAGAGUGAGCACACGGCGUGAUGCCGGCAUAACAUGUAUGCCGUCUUCGCCGCGUGCUCACUCCUCUUUCUGUCAGCCUCUUUCUAUCAGGAGUUUACGUUACAUUCAGAUCCACUGGUGGGUAUGUAGAACUAAUUCGACUCAAUUUCAAUUCAAUAGUUCAUAAUUUUCCACACAAAAAGGAAGGUUAACCCCUGCUUAUGAGAGGAACUCAGCCACAAAAGAAAGGCAGAACACGCAUGCGACAUGUACUCUGGCUUUUCUCCGACUUUACCAUGCCACUUCCUUAUCUCUUUAGAUGUGUGCGCACGCAAAAAAAUGAAGUAAAAAAAAUGCUCUGUUGUUUUGAUCUUUUCAGUCAAGUUGCUCCUGGGAACUACUACCGAGGAGAGUGAUACGGAUGCUAGUGGUAAUUGUAAGGAGUGGCAGCUGUAGGCGCUUGUAGUACUGGAAUAAAUGAU
Molecule: long non-coding RNA, 2347 nt
Organism: Triticum dicoccoides
Lineage: Eukaryota; Viridiplantae; Streptophyta; Magnoliopsida; Poales; Poaceae
Exons: 7
Source: RefSeq, a predicted model, not a curated record